UGCAAAAAGUGCAAAUAUAGGCCUUCUGGCAGGAAUCAAACCUGUGGCCCUGCGAUUUCGGCGCUGCGCUGGAGGGCCUCUAGUUGCAUUUUUUGUAAAAUAGGUCUAAUAGAUGUACAAAAUUCACAGUUCAAUUUUUUGCACUAAGUAUAGGUAAUCAUGCGAUGGGGGAUACAAUUAGGGAUUAAUAGUACUCGUGAUGUUUGGAAAUUUUGCCAAAAUUGGACGAGCCGCUGGGGCGAGUACUUGUUUAUUAUUAGCAUGACAAAAUUGUAUACGUACUUCUCAAUGUCAACAUCAUAUUCUCUCGCCAAAGCCCAGUCCUGCCAGACUUUCAACCAAAAUUUGGUGCUUUUGUUUGUAUUUUCAUUUAGUUCUUUUGUUCAAGCAAAAUUUGGUGCUUUCAUUCAUAUUUUCAUCUAGUUCCUCCACGGCAAUUUCAUUUCACAUUUGUGUUUAAAAUACGUUUCCAACAUUUUGUUUGUUUUGGGAAAAUCAUUAAUUGUACUCCUCUCAACCAAUCAGCAUCCAGUAAUUUUGUCAUGCUAAUAAUAAUAAUAGUAAUACAGUAUACAGUGUAAUAGUAUUCUUUCCAAAACCCCAUUCACCUGAAACUGCAUGGUUGUUUUGGGUUUUCUUAAUUAAUAAAUUAACAUAAUUUUUCGAAACGGAUUUUAGCUACGUGAUGCUGCCAUGAGCAUAGGCGGAUUUUCAUAUUUUUUACUGGGGUGGUGCCAGAAAUUUUAGGGGGGUGAGCCACGAGCAGGUGACUGAAGCAACACCAGGGCCUUUUUUAAGGAUUUUCCCGUGGGGGGGGGAAAGGGACCUUUCCGUGAGAUAAUAUAUUAGAGGGGGAUAGCAAUGGCUGAAGGCCACAUGUGUGGGCAAUAUACCACGCAUGAAUGGGGGGGGGGGAUCUGAGGUACUACCCCAGAAAAUUUUUGAAAUUUGAAUCCCGGAAAUGUCAUUUCCUGCAUUCUGAGCAUCCAAAUUUGGUCCAAAAUUUAUGCUAACUAUACUUGUAUUUGAAAUAAAUAAAGAAAAAAACGCACAAAAACUAAAAAAAAAUAACCAUCAUUUAUCAUUACUUAUUAGAGGGGGAUAACAAUGGUCAGGUGUGUGGGGGUGUAUUCCCCCAGAAAAUUUUUGAAAUUUGAAGCAUGGAAAUGCCAUUUCCUGCAUUCUGAGCAUCCAAAUUUGCUCUAAAAUUUAUGCUAACUAUACUUGUAUUUGAAGUAAAAGAUGGAAAAAAUGUGCAAAAAGUAAAAAAGAAUUUUAACUGUAAUUUAUCGGCUUAUUAGAGGGAUAAUCCCCAGAAAAUUUUUGAAAUUUGAAACCCGGAAAUGCUAUUUCCUGCAUUCUGAGCAUCCAAAAAAUAAAAAAAAUUAUUAACAAUAAUUUAGAAAAAAGUAACAAUUUAAAUCGAUUUUGUUAAACAAGGACAAGGGAUGAAGCCUAAAACUUACUUUCCGUUUAUGUAUUUGUUAAUCUUCGCUGGUUUGUUUGUAUAAUUUUAGGGAAAAGGGACUUUUCCUGGGGGGGCGGCAAAAUGUGAUUUUGUGGGGGGGGGGGCACAAGGGGGGACUCAUUUGCCCCCCCCCCUCCCAGCUUGUGUGUUAAAAAAGGCCCUGAGCAACACAAAGUGUCGCCAAACCCCAGUAAGGUCUAUAUUCUAGGGGUGGAGCACUAGAGCCGCGAGUGGGAGUCUAGAGAGCUGAAAACAAAGUAUUCCUGGAAAAAUUUGAAAAAAAUCAUGAUUUCUAGCUUCGAAAAAACGUUUUUUGAAGUUGUCAUAUCAAUGGAUUUGGCCUGUCCGAUUGUCUGUUGAGACUUGAGAAAGUUAAAGUUAAAUGAAGCUGUAAAAGUGUAAACCCAAUAGGCCAAUACACAAUAUGCUUUUACUUUUAUAAAAUCAUCGACAUUGUGUCGUUUGAAUCCGAGUACAAUUUAUGAUGCAACUCCGAUGUAAAUAAUAUUUGAGACGUAAAGAUUAAAUCUAGGCAAGACUAUUUCCUAAAAGAAUUAAAACUAAAAAUAAUGUUCGUAAAAUUUCCAAACGUUCUUUGCAAGCAAGCUAUUUGCAUGACAAGGCACUGCAAACUCUAUUCAGGGGAGAUAAUAGAGUUUCAAAACUUUACAAUUGGUCCAAUAAACCAGUGAAUGCAAGCGAGGAGCAAUUAGUUUCAGAGUAUUGCGUCUUUUUCUAUUUGAGUGUACUCCUAUGUUUAUUUUGUAUCAUCAACACUCUGCACGUUGGAGUGGACUAUUUAAUUAUUUUUUAUUAUGCCGAAUAUUGGGGGGGUUGAAAAUUUUUUUGGAGGGGUGGACAUUUUGUUUGGGGGGUUAUAGCUAAUAUUGGGGGGGUUGCACCCCCCUGCAACCCCCCCCCACACAAAAUCCGUCUAUGGUUACCUGUGUCAAAUGAGUCAUUCGUCCAGGGCGGCUAAGAGAUGUGCCAUCUCGGCCUUAACACUAAUUACACAGAAACUGAACCAGAAGCUGUUGUUAUUCUCCCUUACAAAUCAU
Molecule: non-coding RNA, 2526 nt
Organism: Paramuricea clavata
Lineage: Eukaryota; Metazoa; Cnidaria; Anthozoa; Malacalcyonacea; Plexauridae
Source: the annotation of a GenBank genome assembly